This 253-nucleotide ribosomal RNA is filed under the name uncultured bacterium. RNAcentral describes it as "partial 16S ribosomal RNA". It matches the Rfam family "Bacterial small subunit ribosomal RNA", at positions 524 to 776 of the family's 1533-position model. The record is from RNAcentral.
UACGUAGGGUGCGAGCGUUAAUCGGAAUUACUGGGCGUAAAGCGUGCGCAGGCGGUUUUGUAAGCCAGAUGUGAAAUCCCCGGGCUUAACCUGGGAAUGGCAUUUGGGACUGCAAGGCUUGAGUGCGGCAGAGGAGACUGGAAUUCCUGGUGUAGCAGUGAAAUGCGUAGAUAUCGUAAGGAAGACCAGUGGCGAAGGCGGGUCUCUGGACAGUUCCUGACGCUGAGGCACGAAGGUCAGGGGAGCAAACGGG